RNAcentral lists this ribosomal RNA (505 nucleotides) under uncultured bacterium. Its description in RNAcentral is "partial 16S ribosomal RNA". It matches the Rfam family "Bacterial small subunit ribosomal RNA", at positions 28 to 507 of the family's 1533-position model. The record is from RNAcentral.
GACGAACGCUGGCGGCGUGCCUAAUACAUGCAAGUAGAACGCACAGUUUAUACCGUAGCUUGCUACACCAUAGACUGUGAGUUGCGAACGGGUGAGUAACGCGUAGGUAACCUGCCUGGUAGCGGGGGAUAACUAUUGGAAACGAUAGCUAAUACCGCAUAAUAUUGAUUAUUGCAUGAUAAUUGAUUGAAAGAUGCUAUUUCAUCACUACCAGAUGGACCUGCGUUGUAUUAGCUAGUAGGUGAGGUAACGGCUCACCUAUGCGACGAUACAUAGCCGACCUGAGAGGGUGAUCGGCCACACUGGGACUGAGACACGGCCCAGACUCCUAAGGGAGGCAGCAGUAGGGAAUCUUCGGCAAUGGACGAAAGUCUGAACGAGCAACGCCGCGUGAGGGAAGAAGGUUGUCGGAUCGUAAAGAUCUGUUGUAAGAGAAGAACGGGUGUGAGAGUGGAAAGUUCACACUGUGACGGUAUCUUACCAGAAAGGGACGGCUAACUACGUG